This 256-nucleotide unclassified non-coding RNA is filed under the name Melaleuca adnata. The record is from RNAcentral. Lineage: Eukaryota; Viridiplantae; Streptophyta; Magnoliopsida; Myrtales; Myrtaceae.
CAUUUUCGUUUUUUUUUCCUCCGGAUCUAUUCGACGGUCUAAUUUCGCGUCGGAAUAAUUUGGACCGCGAUGUCGGGCUCGGAACGAGCUUUCCGGAAUGUACUCACGGGCCCCGUGAGCCCAUCGGGAUGAAAAGUUAGGGACGUGAACGCAAAGACGCGCGAAUUGGGUUUGCUGAUUAAUUGUCUUACUCGUAUUCUCGCCGUANGUAGAGAAAGUGAUUCGCUUCAAGUWAAUUUGCAAUGCAUAACAUGAC